UACGUAGGUGGCAAGCGUUAUCCGGAUUUAUUGGGCGUAAAGGGAACGCAGGCGGUCUUUUAAGUCUGAUGUGAAAGCCUUCGGCUUAGCCGGAGUAGUGCAUUGGAAACUGGGAGACUUGAGUGCAGAAGAGGAGAGUGGAACUCCAUGUGUAGCGGUGAAAUGCGUAGAUAUAUGGAGGAACACCGGUGGCGAAAGCGGCUCUCCGGCCUGUAACUGACACUGAGGCUCGAAAGCGUGGGGAGCAAACAGG
Molecule: ribosomal RNA, 253 nt
Filed under: uncultured bacterium
Lineage: Bacteria
Description: partial 16S ribosomal RNA
Rfam family: Bacterial small subunit ribosomal RNA
Source: RNAcentral